Molecule: long non-coding RNA, 911 nt
Organism: Lactuca sativa (garden lettuce)
Lineage: Eukaryota; Viridiplantae; Streptophyta; Magnoliopsida; Asterales; Asteraceae
Source: RefSeq, a predicted model, not a curated record
UCACACCUUUAUUGUAAAUACAUUACUAUAUAUUGAACAAGUUAUAAGCUAGUAUAUACAUACAAACACCUGCACAUACCUUCGGAGCCCGUGACUCAAUCUUAUGUUGUAAAAUUUAAAUACAUAUUAAUAUAUAAGAUGCCGAUGUUGUAUACAUGUAUAUGUAUAUGGAUGUAUAUUAGCUAUAAUUGUUCAAUAAGCACAACUUUUUUUCAUUUUGUUUCUUUGACAAUUGAGAUGGUUUCCCCUGCCCAAUUUUGUUGGCACGAUUUUAGCCGCCAUAAUCCCUCCCAUAGUCCAACCAAAAAUCAAAAUUCAGCCCAUCUUACUAGGGUUUGCAAUCCGCCCUGGUCACACUCCGCCAACUUCCCCUUUCUCUUCCGGCUUUUCAAUUACCGUCCCAUUGCAGCGGUGCAACCCACGAUCACACCGGAACUGAUUCGCCAUCAACUAUCAGUCGAAUGUUAGCAAAAUCGUAGAUGGUCACCUCACGGUCUAUUGCAGUGAGGGUGAAGCAGACGUAGCGAGGCGAAGGAAGGAGUUGUCGGAAUUCUCGUGAAGCAAAGUGAAGGCCGCGUUCGGGGUGAUCGAGAAAACGUAUUUGAAAUACCGAUUCUUAGUUUUGUGUGUGUUGUCUUCGAAUGAACUUCAGGAGCAUCGCGGCAAUUUCUGAACUCUCAAUUCCAUUUAACUCUCAAUGAAAAACCAACGGCAGCCAUGCCAACGGAGGUGCACCCUAUUGUCGUCGGUGAUGGUGGUUUGUGAUUCCUUCUCACGGAAGACUUCGGGGUGUGUUUGUGUGUUAUUUUCUCGGAGUAUUUUCUGUUAAUGCAUCCUUGAAAUCUCUCCAUUUUUGUUUGAUCAAUUUGUAUGUAAUGCUUGGUGGAAAUUAAGCCUAUCGUUGGUGUAAA